Molecule: ribosomal RNA, 97 nt
Filed under: Tripos fusus
Lineage: Eukaryota; Dinophyceae; Gonyaulacales; Ceratiaceae
Description: partial Bacterial large subunit ribosomal RNA
Source: RNAcentral
GUAAUCAUGAGUGGAGGCAUUUUCAAGACCAUGAUAGGGAAUAGCACCGUGAGAGAAGGUUGACAAAAAGUCUAAGGAAGACUGUGGAACUGAAUCU